GCUUGCUUGGGCGGAUCAGUGGCGAACGGGUGAGUAACACGUGAGCAACCUGCCCUCCACUUCGGGAUAAGCCUUGGAAACGGGGUCUAAUACCGGAUAUGAGCAUCCAUCGCAUGGUGGGUGUUGGAAAGUUUUUCGGUGGGGGAUGGGCUCGCGGCCUAUCAGCUUGUUGGUGGGGUGAUGGCCUACCAAGGCGUCGACGGGUAGCCGGCCUGAGAGGGCGACCGGCCACACUGGGACUGAGACACGGCCCAGACUCCUACGGGAGGCAGCAGUGGGGAAUAUUGCACAAUGGGCGCAAGCCUGAUGCAGCGACGCCGCGUGAGGGAUGACGGCCUUCGGGUUGUAAACCUCUUUCAGCAGGGAAGAAGCGCAAGUGACGGUACCUGCAGAAGAAGCGCCGGCUAACUACGUGCCAGCAGCCGCGGUAAUACGUAGGGCGCAAGCGUUGUCCGGAAUUAUUGGGCGUAAAGAGCUCGUAGGCGGUCUGUCGCGUCUGGUGUGAAAUCCCGAGGCUCAACCUCGGGCUUGCAUCGGGUACGGGCAGACUAGAGUGCGGUAGGGGAGACUGGAAUUCCUGGUGUAGCGGUGGAAUGCGCAGAUAUCAGGAGGAACACCGAUGGCGAAGGCAGGUCUCUGGGCCGCAACUGACGCUGAGGAGCGAAAGCAUGGGGAGCGAACAGGAUUAGAUACCCUGGGUAAGUCAAAG
RNAcentral lists this ribosomal RNA (709 nucleotides) under Isoptericola variabilis. RNAcentral describes it as "bacterial SSU rRNA". It matches the Rfam family "Bacterial small subunit ribosomal RNA", at positions 75 to 799 of the family's 1533-position model. The record is from RNAcentral. Lineage: Bacteria; Bacillati; Actinomycetota; Actinomycetes; Micrococcales; Promicromonosporaceae.